CGGAAGUUUUCGGAUGGAAGCGUGUAUGACUGAGCGGCGGACGGGUGAGUAACGCGUGGGUAACCUGCCUCAUACAGGGGGAUAACAGUUAGAAAUGACUGCUAAUACCGCAUAAGCGCACAGGACCGCAUGGUCAAGUGUGAAAAACUCCGGUGGUAUGAGAUGGACCCGCGUCUGAUUAGCUGGUUGGUGAGGUAAUGGCCCACCAAGGCGACGAUCAGUAGCCGACCUGAGAGGGUGGCCGGCCACAUUGGGACUGAGACACGGCCCAAACUCCUACGGGAGGCAGCAGUGGGGAAUAUUGCACAAUGGGGGAAACCCUGAUGCAGCAACGCCGCGUGAGUGAAGAAGUAUUUCGGUAUGUAAAGCUCUAUCAGCAGGGAAGAAGAAAGACGGUACCUGACUAAGAAGCCCCGGCUAACUACGUGCCAGCAGCCGCGGUAAUACGUAGGGGGCAAGCGUUAUCCGGAUUUACUGGGUGUAAAGGGAGCGUAGACGGCAUAGCAAGUCUGAAGUGAAAGCCCGUGGCUCAACCGCGGAACUGCUUUGGAAACUGUUAAGCUGGAGUACUGGAGAGGCAAGCGGAAUUCCUAGUGUAGCGGUGAAAUGCGUAGAUAUUAGGAGGAACACCAGUGGCGAAGGCGGCUUGCUGGACAGAGACUGACGUUGAGGCUCGAAAGCGUGGGGAGCAAACAGGAUUAGAUACCCUGGUAGUCCACGCGGUAAACGAUGAAUGCUAGGUGUUGGCGGGCAAAGCCCGUCGGUGCCGCCGNCAACGCAUUAAGCAU
This 788-nucleotide ribosomal RNA is filed under the name uncultured bacterium. RNAcentral describes it as "bacterial SSU rRNA". It matches the Rfam family "Bacterial small subunit ribosomal RNA", at positions 67 to 867 of the family's 1533-position model. The record is from RNAcentral.